ACUCGAGUGGCGAACGGGUGAGUAACACGUGGGUGAUCUGCCCUGCACUUCGGGAUAAGCCUGGGAAACUGGGUCUAAUACCGGAUAGGAGCCAUUUUUAGUGUGAUGGUUGGAAAGUUUUUCGGUGUAGGAUGAGCCCGCGGCCUAUCAGCUUGUUGGUGGGGUGAUGGCCUACCAAGGCGACGACGGGUAGCCGGCCUGAGAGGGUGACCGGCCACAUUGGGACUGAGAUACGGCCCAG
RNAcentral lists this ribosomal RNA (241 nucleotides) under uncultured Actinomycetales bacterium. Its description in RNAcentral is "partial 16S ribosomal RNA". It matches the Rfam family "Bacterial small subunit ribosomal RNA", at positions 89 to 334 of the family's 1533-position model. The record is from RNAcentral. Lineage: Bacteria; Bacillati; Actinomycetota; Actinomycetes; Actinomycetales.